Molecule: long non-coding RNA, 385 nt
Organism: Larimichthys crocea (large yellow croaker)
Lineage: Eukaryota; Metazoa; Chordata; Actinopteri; Sciaenidae
Exons: 4
Source: RefSeq, a predicted model, not a curated record
GACCUGCUGAAGGCUGCAGUGCAGGCUGCUCAGUCUAAUUCAGCAACAGCAGUCAUGGAAAAGGAGACUAUCAGUGGACACAGAAAGAUGCAGCGUUGACAACACGGCUCACAGUCCACCACCUGAGAGUGUGGAGCCAAAAUGAAUUCCUCCAUCGACAGAUGUGCGUCCCCAUGUGCCGAUAAAGGGACGGAGCCGAUAGAGGGAUUGACAGUAUGAUGGAGGAAGAGAAGGAGGGGAACAAAAGGAGAGGUGACAUCAUGAGAAUGGACCUCACCCCGAAGGUAUGGACGAGCUUCUCAUCACUCUCUUACUGUCUCAUCAUCGUGUUGACUGGCUGGCAUGCCUGAGGACACAAGACAGCCAGACAUAGACACUGGCAGGU